GGAGAAGAUCACCAUCAUGGGGGCCGUCACCUGCACCCUCCUGACGGCCUGGAACCUCUCCAAGGGCCACCCCCACUUCGACGAGCCGCCGGCCUACCCCUACCUGCACAUCCGCAACAAGGAGUUCCCCUGGCGAGCCAUGGGUUUGACUUCGGCAAAGGGGAUCGCCCUCACCGUCUCCUUGUUUUGGCCUCCUCGCGUUUCUGCUCGGUGUCAUUUAUCUGUUAUACUAUAUGAAUCAUGCAUGCUGAUACACUACUGUGCAAGUUCUAUGGUAUGUGAGUUCCUUUUGUUGCUGCAAGCAUUGAUACAAUAUGUCAUGUUUAGGGAGCUCUGCAUCUGAGUCUCGGUCAUCCUGCACAGCGAGGAGUUGGGCCAAGGGAGCAAGCAGUGCUGCUGGUUCCUUGAGGCCGGAUUGAGUAAGAUGGUGCACCACGACGUGUGGCACGAGAGCUUCAGGCAUAAAAGGAAGUUGGAAGUGUGAAACCAUGAAGAUUGCUCAAGAAAGUACGGUAUAUUAUAUAUUGUAAUAGUAGACAUAUCUAGGUUGUAAAGAUUGUAAUAGACUAAUUUAGUGUUGUUUUCGACGAAUUUCAUGUGCUCUCUGGUCUGUUUGAAAUAUUGAUUCUGUAUGUGUUUUCAAUACUUGUGAAAUGGAAACCUGCGAUCUACAUAAAAAUGGGUGAUAAGUUUUGAA
Molecule: long non-coding RNA, 697 nt
Organism: Triticum dicoccoides
Lineage: Eukaryota; Viridiplantae; Streptophyta; Magnoliopsida; Poales; Poaceae
Exons: 4
Source: RefSeq, a predicted model, not a curated record